This 490-nucleotide ribosomal RNA is filed under the name uncultured bacterium. RNAcentral describes it as "partial 16S ribosomal RNA". It matches the Rfam family "Bacterial small subunit ribosomal RNA", at positions 29 to 506 of the family's 1533-position model. The record is from RNAcentral.
GUGAACGCUGGCGGUCGGCCUCACCCCUGCAGGUCGAACGGCAGCACAGUAAGAGCUUGCUCUUACGGGUGGCGAGUGGCGGACGGGUGAGGAAUACAUCGGAAUCUACUUUUUCGUGGGGGAUAACGUAGGGAAACUUACGCUAAUACCGCAUACGACCUACGGGUGAAAGCAGGGGAUCUUCGGACCUUGCGCGAUUGAAUGAGCCGAUGUCGGAUUAGCUAGUUGGCGGGGUAAAGGCCCACCAAGGCGACGAUCCGUAGCUGGUCUGAGAGGAUGAUCCGCCACACUGGAACUGAGACACGGUCCAGACUCCUACGGGAGGCAGCAGUGGGGAAUAUUGGACAAUGGGCGCAAGCCUGAUCCAGCCAUACCGCGUGGGUGAAGAAGGCCUUCGGGUUGUAAAGCCCUUUUGCUGGGAAAGAAAAGCAGCAGGUUAAUACCCCGCUGUUCUGACGGUACCCAAAGAAUAAGCACCGGCUAACUUCGU